Molecule: long non-coding RNA, 984 nt
Organism: Oryza sativa Japonica Group (Japanese rice)
Lineage: Eukaryota; Viridiplantae; Streptophyta; Magnoliopsida; Poales; Poaceae
Source: RefSeq, a predicted model, not a curated record
UUAGAAAAAAAAUGUUUAUAUCCUAUUUAAUUUUGGAACGGAGUACGUACGCGGUCAAAUCCAAAACCCUCGAGGUGGUUCCGCCCACCGCCGCCGCUUGCUGCCGCCACCGUCGUCCACCACUGCCGUUUCCCCCUGUCACCAGCCACUAGCGACAGUCCGUUCCAGCCGUCAUGGCCUACCACCCACCACCGUCUCUCACCGCCGCUGCCCACCACUGCCGUCGCCAAACGCCCGCCGGCGCUCCGUUGCAGCCACCAGGGCGUACUGGUCGCCACCGCCGCGCCGUUCUAUCUGCUGAUUUGUGGGCGAUUUGGGAUGGGAUCAGACUUCAAUCGGCUGAUUCAAUGGGCCAAAAAAGGAUUGAUCUUCCAUGUGGAGCCUCGAGGCAGAUCGAUUUAGUUGAGGCUGUGCUGCUACUUCAACAAGGGCAUCUCUUAGCAGAAUAGAGGAAAAACUUGUGGUUCUGUUAUUUUGACAUCUGUGUUAAUUGAUUCUCAUGAAUGUUGGUUAUGGCUGAAGCAUCCCAUGUAACUACAAGUGUUCUGCUGUUCCAUUGCAUAAUCAGAAGACAAUUUUGUUCACAGACUUCAAUGUUUAUUAGGGGCAUUACUGCAAGAUGAACCUGCUGAACUUGAAAUAUCAUGGUAUUCUUGAUGACUGAAAGCCUCUUCACAAACAGUGAUAUAUUUUCAAUUCAAAUGGCCAGAUAACCCACAGCAUUAAUUUUCAUAUGCUAUGCGUUGGAAUUACUAUUUCCAUGAUCAAUAGUCGACCCCAUGUUGGUAUGUGAAGAUGAUGAUAAACAACUGAAUGGUUCAUCGAAUCUGGAGCAAUGGGGAGAUGCUAUGCCUGUUUAUGACACUCUAGCUGAAAUUGUACUAGUUGAGGAAUUGUAGUUAUAAUUGUACACUGUUUCUAUAACAAGUUCUAUUGUAUGAUGUAAAUUAUCACUUGAAUGAAUAAAAUGUGUGUUUUCUUUGA